UUUGAGGAAAGUCCAUGCUCGCACUUGCUGAGAUGCAAGUAGUGUUUGUGCCAAAGAAAUUCAUGCCUUUGGGUAGGGAGGAGUCCCGAACGGAAGGAACUAACCUAAAAGUAAUCAUGGUGUAGUUCUAGUAAAUGCUCCACAGUGACGAAGCUUUAGGAAACUAAAGAAGUGAAACGAGGAAAGCCCCUCAAGCGAGAAACCUUUAUGGGAAGGUUGAUGUGGGAAAUGAACCACUAAACCAGUUUGUGAAAACAAACUAGAUAAAUUAUCAUCUAAUACAAAACAUGGCUUAUC
Molecule: RNase P RNA, 297 nt
Filed under: bovine gut metagenome
Description: Bacterial RNase P class B
Rfam family: Bacterial RNase P class B
About the family: Ribonuclease P (RNase P) is a ubiquitous endoribonuclease, found in archaea, bacteria and eukarya as well as chloroplasts and mitochondria. Its best characterised activity is the generation of mature 5'-ends of tRNAs by cleaving the 5'-leader elements of precursor-tRNAs.
Source: RNAcentral